AGUACGGUUGUACGUCCGUCGGCGUACGACGGACGAACGCUGGCGGCACGCCUAACACAUGCAAGUCGAACGGUGUUUGAGAGCUUGACUCUAAAACAUAGUGGCGGACGGGUGAGUAACACGUGAGCAACCUGCCUCUGAGAGAGGGAUAGCUUCUGGAAACGGAUGGUAAUACCUCAUAACAUAGUAGAGCCGCAUGACUUUACUAUCAAAGAUUUAUCACUCAGAGAUGGGCCCGCGUCUGAUUAGCUAGUUGGUGAGGUAACGGCUCACCAAGGCGACGAUCAGUAGCCGGACUGAGAGGUUGAACGGCCACAUUGGGACUGAGACACGGCCCAGACUCCUACGGGAGGCAGCAGUGAGGGAUAUUGCACAAUGGAGGAAACUCUGAUGCAGCGAUGCCGCGUGGAGGAAGAAGGUUUUCGGAUUGUAAACUCCUGUUUCGAGGGACGAUAAUGACGGUACCUCGGGAGGAAGCUCCGGCUAACUACGUGCCAGCCGCCGC
This 505-nucleotide ribosomal RNA is filed under the name uncultured bacterium. RNAcentral describes it as "bacterial SSU rRNA". It matches the Rfam family "Bacterial small subunit ribosomal RNA", at positions 1 to 518 of the family's 1533-position model. The record is from RNAcentral.